Long non-coding RNA from Panicum virgatum (switchgrass), 870 nucleotides. RefSeq lists it as uncharacterized. The record is from RefSeq and is a predicted model, not a curated record. The transcript is spliced from 3 exons. NCBI's taxonomy places the organism in Eukaryota, Viridiplantae, Streptophyta, Magnoliopsida, Poales, Poaceae.
UACCUAGGCAAAUGCAGAACAAGAAGAAGUGCUCAUAUCUUUUCGUGUUUAUAUGAUAUUUAAGAAACAAAGAAAAUUCUGAACAAGAUGCUGGAUAUCAAAAUACCAGAACUGCAAUUAUGUGUGGAAGGACAUUCUGAAUGCUGAAGGUGAUGAGAUCCAUAUCAAGGAAGUUAGCUUGUACAUGAAGGAAGGAGAGAAGAUAUCCUUCUCGGAGCUUUCUGAAAGGGCAGUUCUACAUCGUGAAGUUACAAACAGGUAAUUUUCCUGUGUUUUUUAUUAGCUUUAUGUGUAAAUGAUGUUCUAAGUACAUUAGGUCUUGUUCAGAACAUUUUUGCUUGUUCAGAUGCCAUUGAGGUUCUAUUGACCAGGUGUGCUUCGACAUCAGUUUCUUGUGGAAAUGACUGAUUCGCUCGUUGCGAUAUCAGAAUUCAAAGGUCAACAGCCAAUUACGAUGGAUAGGGAAACUUCCAUAUAGUACUUUCAACUUGUUUUAUUUUUUCGAGAACUUGCAGGAGGGCUGCAUAUCUUUCCAUUAAGAUUUUUUCAAGAACUUGCAGGAGGGUUGCAUAUCUUUCCAUUAAGAAGAUCUGAAAGCUUCUUACAACUCAGGUCCUGUGGAGAACCAUGCUAGACUGUCUUACACUUAUAUAUCAUACUGAAAAUGCAACAGCCAAAAGCAAACCACAAAAGGGCUAUGCUAUGCUAAAUCUUUCGGAGAACGGCAAGGUUCUUAACAACUGCACUGAUCUAUAGCCUAUUGAGAUUGGUAAUUUUUGUCCGGCCCUGAUAUAACAUUUUCUGUACGUUUGCAACAAUCUAAGUUGCAGCGAUUACUUAUCCUGGUUCUUGUCUCACUUGUGCAGGUUC